This 577-nucleotide ribosomal RNA is filed under the name Mesorhizobium sp. AII-5-Aveiro. RNAcentral describes it as "bacterial SSU rRNA". It matches the Rfam family "Bacterial small subunit ribosomal RNA", at positions 107 to 719 of the family's 1533-position model. Lineage: Bacteria; Pseudomonadati; Pseudomonadota; Alphaproteobacteria; Hyphomicrobiales; Phyllobacteriaceae. RNAcentral also lists the same sequence under 5 other names. The record is from RNAcentral.
UGAGUAACGCGUGGGAAUCUACCCAUCUCUACGGAACAACUCCGGGAAACUGGAGCUAAUACCGUAUACGUCCUUUUGGAGAAAGAUUUAUCGGAGAUGGAUGAGCCCGCGUUGGAUUAGCUAGUUGGUGGGGUAAUGGCCUACCAAGGCGACGAUCCAUAGCUGGUCUGAGAGGAUGAUCAGCCACACUGGGACUGAGACACGGCCCAGACUCCUACGGGAGGCAGCAGUGGGGAAUAUUGGACAAUGGGCGCAAGCCUGAUCCAGCCAUGCCGCGUGAGUGAUGAAGGCCCUAGGGUUGUAAAGCUCUUUCAACGGUGAAGAUAAUGACGGUAACCGUAGAAGAAGCCCCGGCUAACUUCGUGCCAGCAGCCGCGGUAAUACGAAGGGGGCUAGCGUUGUUCGGAAUUACUGGGCGUAAAGCGCACGUAGGCGGAUACUUAAGUCAGGGGUGAAAUCCCGGGGCUCAACCCCGGAACUGCCUUUGAUACUGGGUAUCUCGAGUCCGGAAGAGGUGAGUGGAAUUCCGAGUGUAGAGGUGAAAUUCGUAGAUAUUCGGAGGAACACCAGUGGCGAA